RNAcentral lists this transfer RNA (72 nucleotides) under Bacteroidales bacterium. RNAcentral's name for it is "tRNA-Met". It matches the Rfam family "tRNA". From Rfam's summary of the family: Transfer RNA (tRNA) molecules are approximately 80 nucleotides in length. Their secondary structure includes four short double-helical elements and three loops (D, anti-codon, and T loops). Lineage: Bacteria; Pseudomonadati; Bacteroidota; Bacteroidia; Bacteroidales. The record is from RNAcentral.
CGCGGGGUAGAGCAGUGGUAGCUCGUCGGGCUCAUAACCCGGAGGUCGCAGGUUCGAAUCCUGUCUCCGCAA